Non-coding RNA from Oryza punctata, 208 nucleotides. The record is from Rfam. NCBI's taxonomy places the organism in Eukaryota, Viridiplantae, Streptophyta, Magnoliopsida, Poales, Poaceae.
AAAGAGUACACUUUUGUACUAUUCAUACCCAACGUUUGAUCGCUCGUUUUAUUUAAAAUUUUUUAAUGAUUAGUAUUUUUAUUGUUAUUAGAUGAUAAAACAUGAAUAGUAUUUUUUAUGUGACUAAUUUUUUUUAAUUUUUUCAUAAAUUUUUUAAAUAAGAUGGAUGGUUAAACAUUGGACACGGAUACCCACGACUACACUUAAA